Long non-coding RNA from Leptopilina boulardi, 795 nucleotides. RefSeq lists it as uncharacterized. The transcript has 5 exons. The record is from RefSeq and is a predicted model, not a curated record. NCBI's taxonomy places the organism in Eukaryota, Metazoa, Arthropoda, Insecta, Hymenoptera, Figitidae.
AUAUUGAUCUGUUGGGGUAAUUUUAAGUGUCAAGAUUAUCAGUUACACUUACAGUUAAGUAUUUGUAUAAAGUUUUUUAAUAAAACAAUUGAUAUACUAUUUUCUUAACAUUUUUCAAUGUCCGGAUUCACUUGCGAAGUUUGCUUAGUACUGAAAAGAGAAUUAGUUCCUCCAGAAAAAUUGAAAGGAAAUUACAAUUGAUAUCAUCACGUAAAACCCAACUUAUAUUGUUUGACUAAAUUUUUUAUGACAGUAGUUGUUAUUAAUCUUGAAUGCAGCAGUUUAUAAUUAAUAUUUUUGAAAUUCUAUAUUUGGAACGUUCAUACAUGAACAUUUACAAUAUUUACAUAAUGUGCUGUAAUUAAGUACGUCUAAUAUAAAUACUCCUGGAUACAAGAAGUGUUACGGGAAAUAUUAUAACGUGCAUUGUUAUAAUAAAGAGUCCAUCUUUUCGAAGUGCGACGAAUUAUUAUCUUCUUAAUCUUGCAAUUUCUAAUUUGAUACUACUAAUCAAUGGUUUCAUUACUGAUUUACAAGUUAUAUGGAUAAAGUAUAAAUUCAUAGGAGGUUUUUUCUUUUGUAAAGUUUUUCCAUGCUUAUCCGAAAGCCUGGAAAGUAAUACUAUUGACAUUGUUUGCAAUUUCAUUUGAACGUUAUCUCACAAUUUGCCAUUCUGUCCGUAUUAAAAAAGUGAAAACAUUAAAAAGAAUUAUUAUUUCUAUAAUCAUUUUAUGGAUAAUUGGAUUCAUAUUUUCAGUAAAUGAAUUUUUUAAAAAUUCUGUAAAAUACGUCUUU